GGGGUGCCUACGAGAGUAGGCCGCAGUGAAUAGGCUCAAGCAACUGUUUAUCAAAAACACAGGUCUCUGCUAAAGCGCAAGCUGAUGUAUAGGGGCUGCCGCCUGCCCGGUGCUGGAAGGUUAAGGGGAAUAGUUAGCGCAAGCGAAGCUAUGAACUUAAGCCCCAGUAAACGGCGGCCGUAACUAUAACGGUCCUAAGGUAGCGAAAUUCCUUGUCGGGUAAGUUCCGACCCGCACGAAUGGCGUAAUGAUUUGAGCACUGUCUCGGCAAUAAAUCCGGUGAAAUUGUAGUGCAAGUGAAGAUGCUUGCUACCCGCGGUUGGACGGAAAGACCCCGUAGAGCUUUACUGUAGCUUAGCAUUGAAUUUCGGUAUUGUCUGUACAGGAUAGGUGGGAGACUUAGAAGCGAGGGCGUCAGCUUUCGUGGAGUCGUCCUUGGGAUACCACCCUGACAGUACUGGAAUUCUAACUGGAGGCCAUGAAUCUGGUCACAGGACAUUGCUAGGUGGGCAGUUUGACUGGGGCGGUCGCCUCCUAAAAGGUAACGGAGGCGCCCAAAGGUUCCCUCAGCGCGGUCGGAAAUCGCGCGUAGAGUGCAAAGGCAGAAGGGAGCCUGACUGCGACACAUACAGGUGGAGCAGGGACGAAAGUCGGGCUUAGUGAUCCGGUGGUUCUGUAUGGAAGGGCCAUCGCUCAACGGAUAAAAGCUACCUCGGGGAUAACAGGCUGAUCUCCCCCAAGAGUCCACAUCGACGGGGAGGUUUGGCACCUCGAUGUCGGCUCGUCGCAUCCUGGGGCUGUAGUCGGUCCCAAGGGUUGGGCUGUUCGCC
Molecule: ribosomal RNA, 830 nt
Filed under: Clostridium botulinum D/C
Lineage: Bacteria; Bacillati; Bacillota; Clostridia; Eubacteriales; Clostridiaceae
Description: partial 23S ribosomal RNA
Rfam family: Bacterial large subunit ribosomal RNA
Source: RNAcentral